RNAcentral lists this ribosomal RNA (225 nucleotides) under uncultured bacterium. RNAcentral's name for it is "partial 16S ribosomal RNA". It matches the Rfam family "Bacterial small subunit ribosomal RNA", at positions 111 to 334 of the family's 1533-position model. The record is from RNAcentral.
UAACGCGUGAGGAACCUGCCUCAAAGAGGGGGACAACAGUUGGAAACGACUGCUAAUACCGCAUAAGCCCACGGCUCGGCAUCGAGCAGAGGGAAAAGGAGUGAUCCGCUUUGAGAUGGCCUCGCGUCCGAUUAGCUAGCUAGUGAGGUAACGGCCCACCAAGGCGACGAUCGGUAGCCGGACUGAGAGGUUGAACGGCCACAUUGGGACUGAGACACGGCCCAG